RNAcentral lists this ribosomal RNA (253 nucleotides) under uncultured bacterium. RNAcentral describes it as "partial 16S ribosomal RNA". It matches the Rfam family "Bacterial small subunit ribosomal RNA", at positions 524 to 776 of the family's 1533-position model. The record is from RNAcentral.
UACAGAGGUCCCAAGCGUUGUUCGGAUUCACUGGGCGUAAAGGGUGCGUAGGCGGUCGGGUAAGUCUGACGUGAAAUCUCCGAGCCCAACUCGGAAACUGCGUCGGAUACUAUUCGGCUAGAGGAAUGGAGGGGAGACUGGAAUUCUCGGUGUAGCAGUGAAAUGCGCAGAUAUCAGGAAGAACACCCGUGGCGAAGGCGGCUCUCUGGGACGGUACUGACGCUGAGACGCGAAAGCGUGGGGAGCGAACAGG